CUCGCCAGGGAACUACGAGCCCCAGCUUAAAACCCAAAGGACUUGGCGGUGCUUUAGACCCCCUAGAGGAGCCUGUUCUAGAAUCGAUAACCCCCGUUCAACCUCACCCUCCCUUGUUUAUCCAGCCUAUAUACCGCCGUCGUCAGCUUACCCUGUGAAGGAUAAAUAGUAAGAAAGAUUGGCAAAGCCCAAAACGUCAGGUCAAGGUGUAGCAUAUGAGAGGGGAAGCAAUGGGCUACAUUUACUGAGCCAGUAAAUACGGAUCUUGCACUGAAACAAGCAUCUGAAGGAGGAUUUAGCAGUAAGGGGAGAAUAGAGCGCCCCCCUGAAACCGGACCUAAAGCGCGCACACACCGCCCGUCACUCUCCCCAAGGCACCCCUAUAGAUAAAUAAUAUACAGCCCGCCACAAAGGGGAGGCAAGUCGUAACAUGGUAAGUGUAUCGGAAGCUGCACUUGGAAAAACC
RNAcentral lists this ribosomal RNA (466 nucleotides) under Gobulus crescentalis (crescent goby). Its description in RNAcentral is "partial 12S ribosomal RNA". It matches the Rfam family "Bacterial small subunit ribosomal RNA", at positions 868 to 1528 of the family's 1533-position model. Lineage: Eukaryota; Metazoa; Chordata; Actinopteri; Gobiiformes; Gobiidae. The record is from RNAcentral.